This 347-nucleotide ribosomal RNA is filed under the name uncultured bacterium. Its description in RNAcentral is "bacterial SSU rRNA". It matches the Rfam family "Bacterial small subunit ribosomal RNA", at positions 8 to 334 of the family's 1533-position model. The record is from RNAcentral.
AGGGUUUGAUUCUGGCUCAGGACGAACGCUGGCGGCGCGCCUAACACAUGCAAGUCGAACGGAGUUAUGUUGACAGAUCCCUUCGGGGUGACGCUGAUAUAACUUAGUGGCGAACGGGUGAGUAACACGUGAGGAACCUGCCCUUCAGAGGGGGACAACAGUUGGAAACGACUGCUAAUACCGCAUAAGACCACAGAGCCGCAUGGCUCAGGGGUCAAAGGAGAAAUCCGCUGAAGGAUGGCCUCGCGUCCGAUUAGCUAGAUGGCGGGGUAACGGCCCACCAUGGCGACGAUCGGUAGCCGGACUGAGAGGUUGAACGGCCACAUUGGGACUGAGACACGGCCCAG